RNAcentral lists this ribosomal RNA (253 nucleotides) under uncultured bacterium. RNAcentral's name for it is "partial 16S ribosomal RNA". It matches the Rfam family "Bacterial small subunit ribosomal RNA", at positions 524 to 776 of the family's 1533-position model. The record is from RNAcentral.
UACAGAGGACCCAAGCGUUGUUCGGAUUCAUUGGGCGUAAAGGGUGCGUAGGCGGCGCGGUAAGUCGGGUGUGAAAUCUCGGAGCUUAACUCCGAAACUGCAUUCGAUACUGCCGUGCUUGAGGACUGGAGAGGAGACUGGAAUUUACGGUGUAGCGGUGAAAUGCGUAGAUAUCGUAAGGAAGACCAGUGGCGAAGGCGGGUCUCUGGACAGUUCCUGACGCUGAGGCACGAAGGUCAGGGGAGCAAACGGG